This 265-nucleotide ribosomal RNA is filed under the name uncultured archaeon. Its description in RNAcentral is "partial 16S ribosomal RNA". It matches the Rfam family "Archaeal small subunit ribosomal RNA", at positions 716 to 982 of the family's 1478-position model. The record is from RNAcentral.
ACAGUCACACAUUAGAUACCCCUGUAGUCCUAGCCGUAAACGAUACUCGCUAGGUGUCGGCCACGGUGCGACCGUUGUCGGUGCCGUAGGGAAGCCGUGAAGCGAGCCACCUGGGAAGUACGGCCGCAAGGCUGAAACUUAAAGGAAUUGGCGGGGGAGCACCACAACGGGUGGAGCUUGCGGUUUAAUUGGAUUCAACGCCGGAAAUCUUACCGGGACCGACAGCAACAUGAGGGCCAGGCUGAAGACUUUGCCGGGUUAGCUG